This 325-nucleotide long non-coding RNA is filed under the name Physcomitrium patens. Its description in RNAcentral is "long non-coding RNA (PPAT_LNC005714)". The record is from RNAcentral. Lineage: Eukaryota; Viridiplantae; Streptophyta; Bryopsida; Funariales; Funariaceae.
GAAGCUUGGUUUGUGUUAUCAAGCAUCAUUUUUUCAAAAACUCUAAGCAUUUCAUACAUUUUUAUUGUUUGCCUCGAACAGAAUUUUUAAGAGUCUUGAGUGAGGUUGGUGUGUGGCUAAUAGGGAUGUCCUUACUUUGGCACACCAUACCAAAGGGUGAUCAGAAAUGUGUUAGGAAAAGGUCAUGCAAUUCUCUUAAAGUAGCUAGUGGUAGGGUGGUGACAUUGUCAAAGGUGCUUAGAUAUGCAAUGAGGUAGCUCCACUGUAUUAUAACGUAUAACAAAUGUGAAAUUUUUGUCUCUUGCUUUGAACAACUUGACAAAAA